AGAUCAGCCCUGGGGUUCAGAGGGAUCCUGACGGCUACUCCUCAAGAUCCUCUCUGUUGUGAUUCAUCCCCCCCAGGCCCUACAGUUUCUCCUUCCUGACUCUUACAUUUCUUUGGAUGGCAUCACUAUUUUAGUUGCCAAGCACUGUGGAUUCUACCCCUCAGGGUCCAGACACCCAUUUUCCUUCCCACUGUUCCCUCCCCAUGGAGAAGCCUGUGGCUGACUGACAGCUCAACUUGGAGAAGGUGUUACCUGGGCCAGGUGGGGAAGGUAGGGUUGUUUGCAGAGCAAAGAAGUGAAGCCUAUUCAAUGUGAAAAAGAUGAGGGCGAAGACCUUUAUGAUGAUCCAAGUAAUGAACACACUGGAGAAAGUCAAACAGUCAAAACAAUGUCCCAGACUCCGUGAAGUUCCUGGGUAGAGAAGUAGACAGACGUACACCAUACCUAAUAAUUGGAGGUCCAAGAGAAUGAGAGAAUGGCAGAAAGAACUUUAGAGCAUGGGUAUGAUGGCUAGAGCUUGAGCAGCCAUUGUGGACAUCAGAUGAACCUGAAAGUGAAAACUAUGAGCUGAAUAUGACAAAGCAAAUAGAAAACUGGAUUCAUGAUGACACUGCAAAGCUGCCAGACCAGCUCUAGUCUGCUUCUCCCUAAUCUUCCUUACUAAGAGAGAGAAAUAAACUUCCAUCUUCUUCAA
RNAcentral lists this non-coding RNA (694 nucleotides) under Pongo abelii (Sumatran orangutan). The record is from RNAcentral. Lineage: Eukaryota; Metazoa; Chordata; Mammalia; Primates; Hominidae.